Long non-coding RNA from Ostrea edulis (European flat oyster), 687 nucleotides. RefSeq lists it as uncharacterized. The record is from RefSeq and is a predicted model, not a curated record. NCBI's taxonomy places the organism in Eukaryota, Metazoa, Mollusca, Bivalvia, Ostreida, Ostreidae. The transcript is spliced from 2 exons.
AAUAUAAACAUUUCUUUUGCAGAAGUCAUUGGUUGGUCUGAAAUUUGACAAACGUGUCAAGGUGUAACAUUCGUGAUGUAACAUUCGUUACCGAGAAAUUAAUUAAAGGGAAUGAUAGAACAAUUUCCAGCGUAUUUUUGCUCUCUCUCUCUGCAUGAUGUGGUAUACGACAUGAACGUCUACUAUGAACAUUUGAGUUUGAAAGUCAAUACGUGUUAAACUUUGAGAAUUAGGAUUAAUUUUCUCUUACGAAAUGGCGCUUGUGAGAGUAGAAGUACAGAAUAACUACCAUGAAAAAAAAUGUAUUAAAACAUAAGAACAACCAUGAAAAAAUGUUUUAGAAAUAAUAUUAUAUGCUCCCCUUGUGGCAAUACUGAAAAGGUAGAAUGUCUGUAUAGACAGUGAAAAUAAAGGUUUAACUACCGGUCAAAGGCUACCAUAAUGUUACAUGUAAGUUUUGUCUCUCAAAAUACUUAUAAGCAACUGGUCAUUUGAGUAAUUUUGUAUGACCUUUGACUUUGUGACUUGGAAUCCAAUGGGGGUCAUCUAUUCAUAAGGGGCACCAGUGUUUCAAGUUUGAUGUCUAUCAAGGAAAGAUUUCUCAACGGACAAUAGCGUAUGUCCAGAGUAGUUUAACCGUUGUCCUUUUGACCUCAAAAUUAAUAGGGGACAUCGUUAAAUAUUCAU